UAGCCCUUUAAGCCGAGGGUUAACUAGCCAACAGACGUUGUUAGUGGAGUUUUUUUUGUUCACAUGUUAAGCCAAUUACACGCUUGUAAUUGGCUUUUUUUUG
RNAcentral lists this small RNA (103 nucleotides) under Vibrio aerogenes. RNAcentral describes it as "Qrr RNA". It matches the Rfam family "Qrr RNA". Rfam says of the family: This family represents a set of small RNAs (the Qrr RNAs) that are thought to be involved in the regulation of quorum sensing in Vibrio species. It is believed that these RNAs, guided by a protein, Hfq, can mediate the destabilisation of the quorum-sensing master regulators LuxR/HapR mRNAs. Lineage: Bacteria; Pseudomonadati; Pseudomonadota; Gammaproteobacteria; Vibrionales; Vibrionaceae. The record is from RNAcentral. RNAcentral also lists the same sequence under 1 other name.